GCCCCUUUAGCUCAGUCGGUAGAGCAGCUGUUUCGUAAACAGCAGGUCGUCAGUUCAAGUCUGAUGAGGGGCUC
Molecule: transfer RNA, 74 nt
Filed under: Bacteroidia bacterium
Lineage: Bacteria; Pseudomonadati; Bacteroidota; Bacteroidia
Description: tRNA-Thr
Rfam family: tRNA
About the family: Transfer RNA (tRNA) molecules are approximately 80 nucleotides in length.
Source: RNAcentral